AUGGUGAGGAGUGAAGUGAAGCCUUCUCUAAUUUGGCGGCUGGUGCGCGACCUCGGGCAGGAGAAGGAGCAUAUGAGGUGGGUGAUCGCGCUCUGGCUCUGGUUCGAGGCCGAUGGGAACGACAAGUUCAUGCGCCGCGCGGCCGCGCUUCCGGGCCCCGUCGUGCUGCGCUUCGUCGACGAGGCGCUGGCGUGCCUCGCCCGCCUCGCCGGCCGCGUGCUCCCCGGCGCCAGCACCCUCCUCCCCUGCACCAACGCGCUCCUCAACAAGCCCAUCGACGACGUCACCUACUUCGACGAGCACCGCGACAACAUCAUGCCCCGCGUCAAGUUACUGUACAAGACCGUCUGCCGCGUCGUCCUCGACGACGCCUGCGCCUCCGACGACGCCGUCUUCUUUCCCAGGAGCAGCGCCGCCUCCGCGCCGCGCGCCAUCGGCACUCCCGUGCUCGCCAGCGCCGUCUCCCCACCCCCCCAGACGCCAACGACGCCGAGGUUCGCCGACCUGAACGCAAUAGUGACGCCGAGGUUCUCCCAGCUGAACGCGAUGGCGCCGCCGUGGGCCCCGAUCCGGCUGGCGCAGCCGUACCAGCCCCAGCCCCCACCCCAGCACCAGCACCAGCAGCAUCAGAUGAUGAUCAUCGACCGCCUUCCAGAGGAGUUCCGCUCGCUCUUCAUCACCUUCUCCCGCGGCUACCCCAUCGACAAGGACGACAUCAGGGACUUCUUCAACUCGCUGCACGGGCGCCCGUGCGUGGAGGACGUGAUGGUGGAGAGGGCGGCGCCGGGGCAGAUGCCGGUGUACGGGAGGGUGGUGCUGCAGAGCGCGGACAUGAUCCCGGCGCUGCUCGGGGGCGAGCCGACGGCCAAGUUCAUCAUCAAGGGCAGGCACCUCUGGGCCAGGGUCUACGUGCCCUGCUCCAGGAACACCUUCCAAGCCUGA
RNAcentral lists this ribosomal RNA (942 nucleotides) under Triticum aestivum (bread wheat). RNAcentral describes it as "partial small subunit ribosomal RNA". Lineage: Eukaryota; Viridiplantae; Streptophyta; Magnoliopsida; Poales; Poaceae. The record is from RNAcentral.